CUCCACUAUUUCACAAGGAGGGUGGUGACGCACUGAAAUGGAUUACCUAGGGAGGUGGCAGAAUCUCCAUCCUUAGAGGUUUUUAAGGCCUGGCUUAACAAAGCCCUGGCUGGGAUGAUUUAGUUGGGGUUGGUCCUGCUUUGAGCAGGAGGUUGGACUAGAU
Molecule: long non-coding RNA, 163 nt
Organism: Chelonia mydas (Green sea turtle)
Lineage: Eukaryota; Metazoa; Chordata; Testudines; Cheloniidae
Exons: 3
Source: RefSeq, a predicted model, not a curated record